Molecule: long non-coding RNA, 202 nt
Filed under: Lathyrus oleraceus (garden pea)
Lineage: Eukaryota; Viridiplantae; Streptophyta; Magnoliopsida; Fabales; Fabaceae
Description: Pisum sativum (pea) long non-coding RNA (PSAT_LNC017331)
Source: RNAcentral
AUAAUGAUAACCAGUAAAGAGGGGAUUACAUCUACCGGUUACUGGGUUGAAAACCACAGAAAUAGGUCUUACAACUACCGGUUACUGGGUAGAAGGCCACAAAGUUCGUUGGGGAAAAGGAUGAACAAUUACUGAUUACUGAGCAAUUGAACAACUAAACCACAGGGAACCGCAGGGGAAAACAAGACAGGAGUCAAUCUAG